RNAcentral lists this ribosomal RNA (303 nucleotides) under uncultured bacterium. Its description in RNAcentral is "partial 16S ribosomal RNA". It matches the Rfam family "Bacterial small subunit ribosomal RNA", at positions 507 to 808 of the family's 1533-position model. The record is from RNAcentral.
AGCAGUCGCCACGGAAAACGGAGGGUGCAAGCGUUAAUCGGAAUUACUGGGCGUAAAGCGCACGCAGGCGGUCUGUCAAGUCAGAUGUGAAAUCCCCGGGCUUAACCUGGGAACUGCAUUUGAAACUGGCAGGCUAGAGUCUUGUAGAGGGGGGUAGAAUUCCAGGUGUAGCGGUGAAAUGCGUAGAGAUCUGGAGGAAUACCGGUGGCGAAGGCGGCCCCCUGGACAAAGACUGACGCUCAGGUGCGAAAGCGUGGGGAGCAAACAGGAUUAGAUACCCCAGUAGUCCCUGUCUCUUAUACA